GGCAAGAUGGCCGAGUGGUCUAAGGCGCUGUGUUCAGGUGUUUCCUCUUCUGAGGUAUUCAUUCGCAGUCUUCGGGCGUGGGUUCGAACCCCACUCUUGUCA
Molecule: non-coding RNA, 102 nt
Organism: Apiotrichum porosum
Lineage: Eukaryota; Fungi; Basidiomycota; Tremellomycetes; Trichosporonales; Trichosporonaceae
Source: the annotation of a RefSeq genome assembly